UACGUAGGGUGCAAGCGUUGUCCGGAAUUAUUGGGCGUAAAGAGCUCGUAGGCGGUCUGUCGCGUCGGAUGUGAAAAUCCAGGGCUCAACCCUGGACCUGCAUUCGAUACGGGCAGACUAGAGUUCGGCAGGGGAGACUGGAAUUCCUGGUGUAGCGGUGAAAUGCGCAGAUAUCAGGAGGAACACCGGUGGCGAAGGCGGCUUCCUGGACCAAUACUGACGAUCAGGUGCGAAAGCGUGGGGAGCAAACAGG
This 253-nucleotide ribosomal RNA is filed under the name uncultured bacterium. RNAcentral's name for it is "partial 16S ribosomal RNA". It matches the Rfam family "Bacterial small subunit ribosomal RNA", at positions 524 to 776 of the family's 1533-position model. The record is from RNAcentral.